RNAcentral lists this ribosomal RNA (468 nucleotides) under uncultured bacterium. RNAcentral describes it as "partial 16S ribosomal RNA". It matches the Rfam family "Bacterial small subunit ribosomal RNA", at positions 28 to 507 of the family's 1533-position model. The record is from RNAcentral.
GACGAACGCUGGCGGCGUGCUUAACACAUGCAAGUCGAACGGAAAGGCCCUGCUUUUGUGGGGUGCUCGAGUGGCGAACGGGUGAGUAACACGUGAGUAACCUGCCCUUGACUUUGGGAUAACUUCAGGAAACUGGGGCUAAUACCGGAUAGGAGCUCCUGCUGCAUGGUGGGGGUUGGAAAGUUUCGGCGGUUGGGGAUGGACUCGCGGCUUAUCAGCUUGUUGGUGGGGUAGUGGCUUACCAAGGCUUUGACGGGUAGCCGGCCUGAGAGGGUGAACGGCCACAUUGGGACUGAGAUAAGGCCCAGACUCCUACGGGAGGCAGCAGUGGGGAAUAUUGCAAAAUGGGCGGAAGCCUGAUGCAGCAACGCCGCGUGCGGGAUGACGGCUUUCGGGUUGUAAACCGCUUUCGCCUGUGACGAAGCGUGAGUGACGGUAAUGGGUAAAGAAGCACCGGCUAACUACGUG